AUUGAACGCUGGCGGCAUGCCUUACACAUGCAAGUCGAACGCGAAAGGGGGCAACCCUGAGUAGAGUGGCGAACGGGUGAGUAAUGUAUCGGAACGUACCCAGUAGUGGGGGAUAGCCCGGCGAAAGCCGGAUUAAUACCGCAUACGACCUACGGGUGAAAGCGGGGGAUCGCAAGACCUCGCGCUAUUGGAGCGGCCGAUAUCGGAUUAGCUAGUUGGUGGGGUAAAAGCCUACCAAGGCUACGAUCCGUAGCAGGUUUGAGAGAACGACCUGCCACACUGGGACUGAGACACGGCCCAGACUCCUACGGGAGGCAGCAGUGGGGAAUUUUGGACAAUGGGCGAAAGCCUGAUCCAGCCAUGCCGCGUGAGUGAAGAAGGCCUCGGUUGUAAAGCUCUUUCGGUCCGGAACGAAAUACGCAUUCGUGAAUAUCGAGUGUGGAUGACGGUACCGG
This 455-nucleotide ribosomal RNA is filed under the name uncultured bacterium. RNAcentral describes it as "bacterial SSU rRNA". It matches the Rfam family "Bacterial small subunit ribosomal RNA", at positions 30 to 481 of the family's 1533-position model. The record is from RNAcentral.